This 152-nucleotide small RNA is filed under the name bovine gut metagenome. Its description in RNAcentral is "M-box riboswitch (ykoK leader)". It matches the Rfam family "M-box riboswitch aptamer (ykoK leader)". From Rfam's summary of the family: M-box riboswitch, also know as ykoK leader is described as a metaloregulatory RNA that sense divalent metals and function as a genetic control element of genes related to divalent metal transport in bacteria. The record is from RNAcentral.
UUCGUCCGGUAGGUAAGGCUACCACAAGGAUAUGGGUUGCUGCCGCAAAGUCGUGGAGACACGAUUCGUUGGUUUGAGCAGUUGGUAUCGCCCUCAAGGUAUCAUCUAAUGCAACUUCACCGCCUUGUGAUGCUAAAGCUUGAACGGUGGGA